GGCCACUGCUAUGGGGGUCCGACUAAGCCAUGCGAGUCAUGGGGCGCGCUCUGCGCGCACCGGCGGACGGCUCAGUAACACGUCGGUAACCUACCCUCGGGAGGGGGAUAACCCCGGGAAACUGGGGCUAAUCCCCCAUAGGCCUGAGGUACUGGAAGGUCCUCAGGCCGAAAGGGGCUUUGCCCGCCCGAGGAUGGGCCGGCGGCCGAUUAGGUAGUUGGUGGGGUAACGGCCCACCAAGCCGAAGAUCGGUACGGGCCAUGAGAGUGGGAGCCCGGAGAUGGACACUGAGACACGGGUCCAGGCCCUACGGGGCGCAGCAGGCGCGAAACCUCCGCAAUGCGGGCAACCGCGACGGGGGGACCCCCAGUGCCGUGGCAUCGCCACGGCUUUUCCGGAGUGUAAAAAGCUCCGGGAAUAAGGGCUGGGCAAGGCCGGUGGCAGCCGCCGCGGUAAUACCGGCGGCCCGAGUGGUGGCCGCUAUUAUUGGGCCUAAAGCGUCCGUAGCCGGGCCCGUAAGUCCCUGGCGAAAUCCCACGGCUCAACCGUGGGGCUUGCUGGGGAUACUGCGGGCCUUGGGACCGGGAGAGGCCGGGGGUACCCCUGGGGUAGGGGUGAAAUCCUAUAAUCCCAGGGGGACCGCCAGUGGCGAAGGCGCCCGGCUGGAACGGGUCCGACGGUGAGGGACGAAGGCCAGGGGAGCGAACCGGAUUAGAUACCCGGGUAGUCCUGGCUGUAAAGGAUGCGGGCUAGGUGUCGGGCGAGCUUCGAGCUCGCCCGGUGCCGAAGGGAAGCCGUUAAGCCCGCCGCCUGGGGAGUACGGCCGCAAGGCUGAAACUUAAAGGAAUUGGCGGGGGAGCACUACAAGGGGUGGAGCGUGCGGUUUAAUUGGAUUCAACGCCGGGAACCUCACCGGGGGCGACGGCAGGAUGAAGGCCAGGCUGAAGGUCUUGCCGGACACGCCGAGAGGAGGUGCAUGGCCGCCGUCAGCUCGUACCGUGAGGCGUCCACUUAAGUGUGGUAACGAGCGAGACCCGCGCCCCCAGUUGCCAGUCCUCCCCGCUGGGGAGGAGGCACUCUGGGGGGACCGCCGGCGAUAAGCCGGAGGAAGGAGCGGGCGACGGUAGGUCAGUAUGCCCCGAAACCCCCGGGCUACACGCGCGCUACAAUGGGCGGGACAAUGGGAUCCGACCCCGAAAGGGGAAGGGAAUCCCCUAAACCCGCCCCCAGUUCGGAUCGCGGGCUGCAACUCGCCCGCGUGAAGCUGGAAUCCCUAGUACCCGCGUGUCAUCAUCGCGCGGCGAAUACGUCCCUGCUCCUUGCACACACCGCCCGUCACUCCACCCGAGCGGGGUCUGGAUGAGGCCUGAUCUCCCUUCGGGGAGGUCGGGUCGAGUCUGGGCUCCGUGAGGGGGGAG
Molecule: ribosomal RNA, 1418 nt
Filed under: Thermococcus sp. DS-1
Lineage: Archaea; Methanobacteriati; Methanobacteriota; Thermococci; Thermococcales; Thermococcaceae
Description: bacterial SSU rRNA
Rfam family: Archaeal small subunit ribosomal RNA
Source: RNAcentral